Molecule: ribosomal RNA, 368 nt
Filed under: uncultured organism
Description: bacterial SSU rRNA
Rfam family: Bacterial small subunit ribosomal RNA
Source: RNAcentral
CGAAGGUCCCAAGCGUUAUCCGGGUUUAUUGGGUUUAAAGGGUGCGUAGGCGGGCUAUUAAGUCAGUGGUGAAAGCCCCAAGCUUAACUUGGGAACUGCCAUUGAUACUGAUGGUCUUGAGUACAUUUGAGGUGGGCGGAAUGUGUCAUGUAGCGGUGAAAUGCUUAGAUAUGACACAGAACACCGAUUGCGAAGGCAGCUCACUAAACUGUAACUGACGCUGAGGCACGAAAGCGUGGGGAGCAAACAGGAUUAGAUACCCUGGUAGUCCAUGCCCUAAACGAUGAUCACUCGAUGUGUGCGAUAUACUGUACGCGUCUGAGCGAAAGCAUUAAGUGAUCCACCUGGGGAGUACGACCGCAAGGUUG